CCAUAAUAUUACAUUUGGGCCGAGUUUUAAACGUAAACAUUCACAAGUUAGGGUAAAAUAUUUGUAAAUUCAAGACCAUAGCUAGCCUUUUAGCUCUUCACGAUUCACGGCACGCAUAUUAGUCACGAUUCACGGAAUGGUAUUUCUUUAAAUCACGAGACGGGAAACUCGUCUCAGACGGGGAACUCGUCUAAUAUGAAUCCGGGCGCAGACGAGUUUCCCGUCCGAACUUUCCCGUCUAACUUAC
Paramuricea clavata is the source of this 247-nucleotide non-coding RNA. NCBI's taxonomy places the organism in Eukaryota, Metazoa, Cnidaria, Anthozoa, Malacalcyonacea, Plexauridae. The record is from the annotation of a GenBank genome assembly.